Molecule: long non-coding RNA, 924 nt
Organism: Belonocnema kinseyi
Lineage: Eukaryota; Metazoa; Arthropoda; Insecta; Hymenoptera; Cynipidae
Exons: 2
Source: RefSeq, a predicted model, not a curated record
UUAAUCUAAUUCUAUUUCUUUUUCAGAAUUAAGUUCACAGUACAAUGACAAAAUUCUCCAGAAAGGUUCAUAUACACUUCUAGACAGCUUGGGCAUCUUUUACAGAUUACACGAAUUACUGGCUACACGGAAAGAAUUUUGGCACAAGAGCAGCGCCGCCUACUGUAAAACAGAUGUGCGUAGGUUUGACACAGUUGCUAUACCGAUUUUGGCGCAGCGGACGCCCCGAACUAGUUCUCCCAAAAAGAGCUCUGCUUGACGCAUGCGCUGUAGUGCACCGGACCAUCUUCGGGAGCACUUAAAAAAAAGGCCCGGCAAUUAUGCGAAACGAAUGAAUAACAACAAUACAACAAUACAACUACUGCCGAGGAAUUAUUUCCGUGCGUUUAGUUCUUAAUUUUUUAUUUAAAUAAUAAUAUUUAGACAUUAUUUUGUCUUGGUUUUCUUCUAAAUUACUUUUCUAUUCUUAAGUUAAAAAUGUUCUUUAAUUUGGGACGGAAUUAAAUAAACAAUUGAAUAAUAUUGUAAUUUCUUUUGAUUUUAUCGUUUUUGUUAUCCAAAAUUUUCUGAUCUUAAAAAUUCAAUUUUAAUAAAAAUCAAUGUUUCCUUUGAAUCAUGUAAAAACUACUUGUUUGGAUUAGUUGUAACUGUUCUUCGAGUAAAUGAUUGCAAGUAGUAAUCAUUUUAGUGUUGAUUAGUUUUAAUAUUUUUAUUUGACUACGCCUCAAAAAUAAUAUUUUAUAACGAGAAAAAUGUACUUGUGGAUUAAAGAUAUAAAUGGAUGUAAUAUGACACAGAGCUUUAUCUUUCGAUUUUACCUCUACACCAUGGGUUAUUCUUUUCACAUUUAAAUUCUAAUAAAAAGGCGCAAACAUAAACCAUUACGACGCUAAUUUUAAUAGCUAAAUGAAUAUUUUAAAAAAU